GAAGGCAGCUAGCUCUCUGCAACUCUCACAUGGUCGCAACUCUCACAUGAAGCUAAGCAGGGCUGCGCCCGGUCAGUACCUAGAUGGGAGACCACAUGGGAAAGCUAGGUUGCUGCCGGAA
Molecule: ribosomal RNA, 121 nt
Organism: Danio rerio (zebrafish)
Lineage: Eukaryota; Metazoa; Chordata; Actinopteri; Cypriniformes; Danionidae
Source: Ensembl